This is a long non-coding RNA of Polyodon spathula (Mississippi paddlefish), 942 nucleotides long. RefSeq lists it as uncharacterized. The transcript has 4 exons. NCBI's taxonomy places the organism in Eukaryota, Metazoa, Chordata, Actinopteri, Acipenseriformes, Polyodontidae. The record is from RefSeq and is a predicted model, not a curated record.
GCUGAAUGGAGAAAGACGUGUUGAGGCUGAACAUCGGGAUCCUAGGGCUUAGGCAAGUAGGAGCCAUGGUGCCUUUUACUGAAGAAGUGAACACAGAAGCCGUUGACAUUGUUUUGAAGUACUUCAGCUCUAGAUAAAAGCUUUUCGCCUGGAUUCACAGUCUCCUAUCAUGGAGUCAACAGAGGCUGACUCUGCUGGUACCUGCUACACCUUUUGAAGUAAUUUUGAAACAGACCAACUGUCCCAAGACAGCACCAGGUGAACAAGAUUGCAGUAUCUUACCGAAUGGAGAGGACUGCAACCUGAUGAUGAAAACACUACAUUGUGGAAUACCAGCACACAGGAGCCAGGUUGCUGUACCUCUACCCUGGUGAUAUGAUGGAAACUUGGUAAUCUACAUAACAAUGAUGAACUCUGGUCUUCUUAAACAGGCAAGAAAUAAAAAAAGCAACAUAUCAAUCUGGAAAGCCUUUGGAUAUUCUACUUCUGAAAAAAGCCUGAAUAAAAACAUGUGUCUAUAGUAAGCCUGUUCUGUUUAGUUGACCUGUAAGUACUUACUCAUGUGCUAAAGCUUUGUGAACACAACAAAACGGCUAUCAAAUGUAUUUUGUCCUAAAAAGACAUUAGCAAAUUACUCUUUUUAAUGGAUACAAAAAUGAAUACUCACCCAUCAACCUCCAUCCCUCACACUCACACACACAAGAAGAAUACCCAUUUCAAUAGCCUUGAGAUACCAAAAUAAACUCAAGAACAAUUGGUUUUAAUUUGCUCUUUAUUUAAAUGUUUGUUUAUUUCAGCAUGAGCAUGCUUUAUAUGACAUCCCAACACAGAUAUGUGAUUUAGUAGCGCAGGGAUAAAACAAAACAUUUAGUUAAACAAUUAAGACAAAAGCAGUGCAACCGAUAAUGAAAAGUAACGCUUGUAAAUACAUUGCUCAGGCAA